ACGUAGGGUCCGAGCGUUGUCCGGAGUUACUGGGCGUAAAGCGCGCGCAGGCGGCGGUGUUGGCCCGGCGUGAAAGCCCCCGGCUCAACUGGGGAGGGUCACGCGAUACUGAUCGACUCGAAGGCAGGAGAGGGUAGUGGAAUUCCCGGUGUAGUGGUGAAAUGCGUAGAUAUCGGGAGGAACACCAGUGGCGAAGGCGACUACCUGGCCUGUUCUUGACGCUGAGGCGCGAAAGCUAGGGGAGCAAACGGGA
Molecule: ribosomal RNA, 253 nt
Filed under: uncultured prokaryote
Description: partial 16S ribosomal RNA
Rfam family: Bacterial small subunit ribosomal RNA
Source: RNAcentral